RNAcentral lists this ribosomal RNA (460 nucleotides) under uncultured bacterium. RNAcentral describes it as "partial 16S ribosomal RNA". It matches the Rfam family "Bacterial small subunit ribosomal RNA", at positions 338 to 795 of the family's 1533-position model. The record is from RNAcentral.
CCUACGGGAGGCAGCAGUGAGGAAUAUUGGUCAAUGGACGAGAGUCUGAACCAGCCAAGUAGCGUGAAGGAUGACUGCCCUAUGGGUUGUAAACUUCUUUUAUAUGGGAAUAAAAUGUUCCACGUGUGGGAUUUUGUAUGUACCAUAUGAAUAAGGAUCGGCUAACUUCGUGCCAGCAGCCGCGGUAAUACGGAGGAUCCGAGCGUUAUCCGGAUUUAUUGGGUUUAAAGGGAGCGUAGGUGGAUUGUUAAGUCAGUUGUGAAAGUUUGCGGCUCAACCGUAAAAUUGCAGUUGAAACUGGCAGUCUUGAGUACAGUAGAGGUGGGCGGAAUUCGUGGUGUAGCGGUGAAAUGCUUAGAGAUCACGAAGAACUCCGAUUGCGAAGGCAGUUCACUGGACUGCAACUGACACUGAGGCUCGAAAGUGUGGGUAUCAAACAGGAUUAGAUACCCCAGUAGUC